GGUUCGCAACACUAGUUUAGGCGCCAUUUCAUCAGCAGAGCAGCGUCUUCUGCUGCUUCAGCUCCGCCGGAGUGCACAUCGGAAUCGGAGCUUUGUUAAAGCAAACUGACUAUUUUCUGGCCGGAGACGGCGCAGAAGAUGCCAGGCCCCGCCUUAGAGAUGGAGCCAGUAGAACCACAGUCGUUGAAGAAGCUUAGCUUCAAAUCUCUCAAAAGAGCCCUAGACCUUUUCUCUCCGGUCCACGGGCAGGUCGCUCCUCUCGAUCCCGAAAGCAAAAAGAUUCGUAUCAGUCACAAGAUAAGUGUUGAGUACGGAGGAAUGAAGAACACCAGUACUAAGCCUACUGGCCAAGCAAGUUCCGCUCCUGACAGUGCUCUUGGGACUUCAGCGCCUUCCAAUGCCCUCGCACUUCCUGGUCCGGGUGAUUCUAGAGAGGCGAAGUCUGGGGCACAAAAUGCACUGGUUAUUGGUCCAACUGUGCAACCAAAUGCACAAACCGAUGGUGGCCUUCAGGGAAGAAGCUCAGCAAUUGUUUCGGCAUCUGGUUCAUCUGAAAGGAUGUCAACAUCUGCAAUUAUGGAAAGAAUUCCAAGCAAGUGGCCACGUCCGGUUUGGCAUGCUCCAUGGAGAAAUUAUAGGGUCAUAAGUGGUCACUUGGGGUGGGUAAGGUCGGUUGCAUUUGAUCCCAGUAACACAUGGUUUUGUACGGGUUCAGCAGAUCGUACAAUCAAGAUUUGGGAUGUUGCAAGUGGAAAGUUAAAACUCACAUUGACAGGCCACAUUGAGCAAGUACGAGGUCUUGCUGUCAGCAACAGGCAUACCUACAUGUUUUCAGCUGGUGAUGACAAACAAGUUAAAUGUUGGGACCUGGAACAGAAUAAGGUAAUUCGUCAUUACCAUGGUCAUCUGAGUGGUGUUUACUGUUUGGCUCUUCAUCCAACAAUUGAUGUUUUGCUUACUGGGGGACGUGAUUCUGUCUGUCGGGUAUGGGACAUUCGAAGUAAGAUGCAAAUUCAUGCACUCUCUGGGCAUGAUAACACAGUUUGCUCAGUUUUUACUCGUCCUACGGACCCACAAGUAGUGACUGGCUCCCAUGACACAACUAUCAAGUUUUGGGACCUCAGAUAUGGAAAGACAAUGACAACUCUGACAUACCAUAAGAAAUCUGUUCGGGCAAUGGCAUUGCAUCCUAAAGAGCACAGUUUUGCAUCUGCCUCAGCUGAUAACAUCAAGAAAUUUAACCUCCCUAGAGGGGAGUUUAUGCACAAUAUGCUUUCUCAGCAGAAGACUAUAAUCAAUGCAAUGGCUGUCAAUGAGGAGGGUGUUAUGGUGACUGGAGGUGACAAUGGUAGCUUAUGGUUCUGGGAUUGGAAGAGUGGUCAUAACUUUCAGCAAUCGCAAACAAUUGUACAGCCUGGCUCGUUGGACAGUGAAGCUGGUAUAUAUGCGCUUUCUUAUGACAUAACUGGUUCGAGGCUUGUAACUUGUGAAGCUGACAAAACAAUUAAAAUGUGGAAAGAGGAUGAAAAUGCUACCCCUGAAACUCAUCCUCUCAACUUCAAGCCACCCAAAGAUAUCCGAAGAUUCUAGACCUUGGUUCCCGCCACGCUUAUGCUUUGACGGGACGACCUGGUUUCAUGGACAUUCAUAGGAUAUUAAAUCCUAGGUGACUCUGCAAGUGGAGAAGAAGCAAUUAGACGUUUCUAAACAAACAAUUAAAGAUAGUAGGGUUUGUUAAAGCCUACAGGUAUUAGGUAGGCUUCUCUAGUAGUUCAAUUGCCCUCUACGGGGAACUGGGGAGAGAAAAAGGUUGUAGGAAGAUAUUUUCAAACCAAGCGAGAAGUUAAAAGAUGAGGGGGGGAAAUGAAACGCUUGAAUGAAGAAUAGAAAGGGCGGACAGGUUGGUUUGAGUCUUGAGGACUCGUUGGUCAAAGGAAUGGGGAGGUCUUGAUGGUCGGGACAAAGCAGUAUCAACUACAUGUUGGGGUUCCAUGUGGCAAACAUGACGGCUUUUAGACUUGGUUGUGGUGGGUAUCAUUGCUUUGAGUAAAGAUUUAUGCCAUGUUUCAUCGGUGAGGGUAAGUGGGUUUCUUUUCCCUAUCAUUUAUCUCAUAAUUUCCCCGAUUUCUUUUGGUGCCAGUAUAGUCGUAGACUAGCUACUUCAAUGCUAAAGAUUUUGGAAAAAAAGAAAACAAAUCUUAUAGAGAAGAAUUAUAUUGUAAUUAACUUUUUUUUUUCUUUUGCCAACCAGUCUUAUUUUAUAAUUAUCGAAUAAGAUUUGUGUAUUUGAAGAAUUA
Benincasa hispida (wax gourd) is the source of this 2297-nucleotide non-coding RNA. The record is from RefSeq and is a predicted model, not a curated record. NCBI's taxonomy places the organism in Eukaryota, Viridiplantae, Streptophyta, Magnoliopsida, Cucurbitales, Cucurbitaceae.